Molecule: ribosomal RNA, 532 nt
Filed under: Lenzites sp.
Lineage: Eukaryota; Fungi; Basidiomycota; Agaricomycetes; Polyporales; Polyporaceae
Description: SSU rRNA
Rfam family: Bacterial small subunit ribosomal RNA
Source: RNAcentral
CCCCAGAGGUGACUAGCUACUGAAUCAAAGAGUUUAAAAACUCCUGAUGUCGUAAGGGAAAAUAAUGAUAUUACCUUACUAAUAGUGUCGUCCAAAACUGGUGCCAGAAGACUCGGUAAGACCAGAGACGCAAACGUUAAUCAUCAUAAACAGGCGUAAAGGGUUUGUAGGCAGCUUUUAUAAAGAAUAUAAUUAACAAAAUAAAGUAUUCUAAUUGAAAGCUAGAAUCAAAUAUAGGUUAUAGUGUAUAACGCUUAGAGGAGGGCUGAUAUCCUUAGAUCCUAGGCUGAAUACUAAGGGCGAAGGCCACUUUCCAUAAACGAUUGACGCUGAGAAACGAAGGUUAGGGUAGGAAAUAGGAUUAGAUACCCCGGUACUCCUUUCUGUAAACGAUGAAUGGUAGUCAUUAGUCUCAAAAGACUAGAGGCGAAGUUAACACGAUAACCAUUCCGCCUUGUGAGUACUACUGCAAAGUAGAAAACAAAAAAAUUAGUCGGUCUCGAAGCAAACGGAGUGAAGCAUGUUAUUUAUU